UACAGAGGGUGCGAGCGUUGUUCGGAAUUAUUGGGCGUAAAGGGCGCGUAGGCGGUGCGGUAAGUCACCUGUGAAAUCUCCUGGCUCAACUGGGAGCUUGCAGGCGAAACUGCCGUGCUGGAGUGUGGGAGAGGUGAGUGGAAUUCCCGGUGUAGCGGUGAAAUGCGUAGAUAUCAGGAGGAACACCGGUGGCGAAGGCGGGUCUCUGGGCCGUAACUGACGCUGAGGAGCGAAAGCGUGGGGAGCAAACAGG
Molecule: ribosomal RNA, 253 nt
Filed under: uncultured bacterium
Lineage: Bacteria
Description: partial 16S ribosomal RNA
Rfam family: Bacterial small subunit ribosomal RNA
Source: RNAcentral